UACGGAGGGUGCAAACGUUGCUCGGAUUCAUUGGGCGUAAAGGGUGCGUAGGCGGCGGUGUAAGUCGGUUGUGAAAUCCCGGGGCUCAACCCCGGGACUGCGUCCGAUACUGCACGGCUCGAGGCAGGUAGGGGAGAGUGGAAUUCCCGGUGUAGCGGUGAAAUGCGCAGAUAUCGGGAGGAACACCGGUGGCGAAGGCGGCUCUCUGGACCUGUCCUGACGCUGAGGCGCGAAAGCUAGGGGAGCGAACAGG
Molecule: ribosomal RNA, 253 nt
Filed under: uncultured bacterium
Lineage: Bacteria
Description: partial 16S ribosomal RNA
Rfam family: Bacterial small subunit ribosomal RNA
Source: RNAcentral